AAUAGAUAACACCGUUGACUUUUUCUCACAUGUUUGACCAUUCGUCUUAUUCAAAAAAUUUACGUAAUUAUAAUUUAUUUUGUUAUGAGUUGUUUUAUUACUCAUAGUACUUUAAGUGUGAUUUAUAUAUUAUAUAUUUGCCAAAAAAAAUUGAAUAAGACGAAUGGUCAAACAUGUGAGAAAAAGUUAACGACGUCAUCUAUU
Molecule: microRNA precursor, 204 nt
Filed under: Oryza glumipatula
Lineage: Eukaryota; Viridiplantae; Streptophyta; Magnoliopsida; Poales; Poaceae
Description: MIR812 microRNA precursor family
Rfam family: MIR812 microRNA precursor family
Source: Rfam by way of RNAcentral